AAGUCGUAACAAGGUCGAAGGCCUUGCCCCACGGCUUUGCAGUCUGCCCCGGGGAAGCCUCCGCGACCCCGGGCGGGCGAGGACCGUGUCUCGCUGGGAGCUCACCUGCAACCAGCGGCCGCCCCGCGCGGUUCACAGACUAAGUGCGGUCCGAGUCCCCUCGGGGACUAGUGAUAUAGUCGGGAUUGCCGUGGACGCCCCACGGUAUUACCUCCGUUUCGUAGGUGAACCUGCGAAAGGAUCAUUACCGAGUCGAGGGUCUAACCGGCCCGAGCCUCCCAACCCCGUGUCUUCAGACCCCAUUGUUGCUUUGGUGGGCCGUGGUCCCCGGGCCCCCGCGGAGCUUGCUCGGCGGGCCCGCCAAAGGUCUCCCUAAACGCGUCCGCAACCAGGCUCCCCCGGGAGCUGUCUGAAACGUUGGCAAGCACAAAUCGAACCCAAAACUUUCAACAACGGAUCUCUUGGUUCUG
RNAcentral lists this unclassified non-coding RNA (470 nucleotides) under air metagenome. RNAcentral's name for it is "partial contains small subunit ribosomal RNA, internal transcribed spacer 1, and 5.8S ribosomal RNA". The record is from RNAcentral.